GUUUGAUUUUCCCUACCAACACUUUCUCGGUCGAGUCUUUCGCACCAAGCUUGUCUAGUGCGGUUUACCUAUGUGACGUGAUUUGCAGGUUAUUGCGUCAACUCGAGGGUUUACCUAGUACGCACCCGAAUGAUAGUAGCUGCGGGUUUGCCCACCAUUAAAAAAAAAAAAAAAUUCAUGUUAGGGGGAUUUGUUUAUAGUCGAGUAAAUUUUUUAGGUUCUAAUUAUUUCUUUUGUCUUCAAUUUGUAUAGGUUACAUUGGAAUUGGCAAUAACAGAAUCUUCCCGUGAGAAGCUACAUCAAUUAAUUGGUAAUAUGGUUACACAUUCAUUGCCGUGAAAAUCUAUCUUGUGGAGAAUUAUACAUUUUAAAUAAAGUAUAAGUUUCAGUUUAUAGAUUCUCCGAUUUAUGAGGCUGUCCUAACUGUAGAACUGUUCAAGAUUGUUAAUUUUUUUGCUUGUGUAUUUGCUAUUGACAGGACAUGACUGUCCAAGAUAUUAAUUUAAAAUCCUUUAGAAAGAUCCCCUUUUUGCUAAUUUCUUCUAUCAUAUUGCCUCGCUUGGAUAUAUCAGAUGCUACUUUCGGCUGAACAAAUUAAUAGAAUUUUUUCUGGAAAAGUUUGUUCUUGUUAUUAUAACCCUUUUGUAAGUACAUGAUGUAAUGGCCCAAAUCCAGUGACGGGAAAGAUGGUCAUGUCAUUAUUUGAAUAUGCUGAGGAGAUGUUUAGAACUUGAAAGAGAUCUGGUAGCUGAAGGAUUGACGAUAAUUGGCAACGAUUACGUGUUUCUAACUAGCAUCACUGUUGGAACUUUCCUGCUGUUGUUAGAAUUGCACAAGCAACUAAUGCUUACCAUACAGCCUUGGUUGGGCGCAGUAGGAUUGGGUCCCCAUGCAAUCCAGCCCCUUUGAAAUCUGACAGUGAAAUGGGGUUCCUAAUAUUUAACUCACUGCCGGAGUUAACGAAUGUUAGAUAUAUGACGUGUGCUGGAGCAGGUUUAGGCAAAAGAAAAAUGGAAAAAGAAACGAGAAUGCCAGAUAGAAAAUUUGCUAAAGAUCUUGAAACCAUGGUCAUGGAAGAUUUGUAUUUGAUAAAAUGAUCAUCCUUGAUAAAUUGGAUGUACCACUGAGAUUGGCAAAAGAUCUGUGGGUGAAACAAAUUGCUUGCACAUGAGAAGUUCAUUUGGAACUUUUCCAAGAUCUUCAUGAUACAAUGAUUCAUAGGACCCGUUUGGCAAGAAUUCUGAAAAGCUAACUCUACUUUUAGACUUGUUUGGUUAGAUUUCUUGAAUAUACUUUGUUAGAAGGGUUUUUAUAGAAAGUUGGAUCAAAUUGGUGUUUUUUU
Olea europaea var. sylvestris is the source of this 1342-nucleotide long non-coding RNA. RefSeq lists it as uncharacterized. NCBI's taxonomy places the organism in Eukaryota, Viridiplantae, Streptophyta, Magnoliopsida, Lamiales, Oleaceae. The transcript is spliced from 2 exons. The record is from RefSeq and is a predicted model, not a curated record.